This 70-nucleotide microRNA precursor is filed under the name Podarcis lilfordi (Lilford's wall lizard). The record is from RNAcentral. Lineage: Eukaryota; Metazoa; Chordata; Lepidosauria; Squamata; Lacertidae.
UGUGUGUGUGUGUGUGUGUGUGUGUGUGCGCGCGCGUGCGCGUGCACACACACACACACACACACACGCU